This 996-nucleotide long non-coding RNA is filed under the name Zonotrichia albicollis (white-throated sparrow). RNAcentral describes it as "lncRNA (ENSZALG00000016124.1)". Lineage: Eukaryota; Metazoa; Chordata; Aves; Passeriformes; Passerellidae. The record is from RNAcentral.
GCAGCUGUGCGACUCUGACUCCCGUGGGCUGUGACAAAGGAUACUCUCUCCUGAUCCAGACCCCAGGAACCUUUAACCAUUAUCCUAGAGCACAAGGAGAUUUGGGGAGAUUUAAAUGAAAUUUUUCAAAAAAAGAUAGUCAAGUAUUCUCAUUAUCCUGCUGCUCCCAUCCAACUUUCCACCUCUCUGCACAUUUGCUUCCUUUAAGAAAAUCUGCUCAUUUAUUUUGUGAGCCUUAGCAAGAUCCCAGGCCUUGAAGUUCUGGCUCUUCGAGGUUGGAGAUCCUAAAGAAUAUUGAGAAUUGUAUUGAUUGAGGUUUUCUUGGUGUUAUACAGCAAUGCCCAUGUACUCAAGGAGCCUUUUUGAGAACAUGCUAAUUCGACAGAGAAUCAGCAGCCAACACUGUUGUCUUAAGAAGAGGACUGAAGAGGAAAAGACAAUGCUGAGAGCCUUACUGACCUCUUUCAACAGCCUCCCCACAUGCAGCUGCUUUUGGGAAGCAAAUGUGGGGCAGUCAGAGGAUCUAAAAAGUAUGGGGAUUCACUGCUGUAUAUCACAUGUAUAUCAUGUGAAUAACAUCUUUCAAUUAGGAGCAUCCCACAUUCACCCAGCUCCUUGUGGUACAUGGAUCACAUACAUACAUGGUACCAGGAUGUGCAACAGUGACAGACUAGAGGACAAUAGAACAGUUCAAGAGCACCUAUGGCAAAUGCAAUGUCAACCUGCAUCAUCUGUGACGAAUAUACUGUGCAUUACCAUCAUUUUAUGUACUGUAAAUAAGCCCCCAUCCUUUGUUUUGCCUAACUCCUUCCAGAUGCCUCUUGCCUCAAACAAACUACAGUCCUCAGGUUCUCAGAAAUAGGAUCUUGGCCUACAAGAAGGUAAUUUCUCCAGGUUCAACAACCGGAUCAAGGCAUUUUACUCUUGCAGUCUGCAUUAUCCCUUCUUAUUCUUGAGCUGCCAUCUCAUUUAGGCAGGGACUUUUAGGAUACAAAC